RNAcentral lists this ribosomal RNA (766 nucleotides) under Phyllosticta cordylinophila. RNAcentral's name for it is "eukaryotic LSU rRNA". The stretch from base 1 to 174 matches the Rfam family "Eukaryotic small subunit ribosomal RNA", at positions 1660 to 1831 of the family's 1831-position model. Lineage: Eukaryota; Fungi; Ascomycota; Dothideomycetes; Botryosphaeriales; Phyllostictaceae. The record is from RNAcentral.
UUGUACACACCGCCCGUCGCUACUACCGAUUGAAUGGCUUAGUGAGGCCUUCGGACUGGCUCAGGGAGGUCGGCAACGACCACCCAGAGCCGGAAAGUUCGUCAAACUACGUCAUUUAGAGGAAGUAAAAGUCGUAACAAGGUUUCCGUAGGUGAACCUGCGGAAGGAUCAUUACUGAAAUGUAAUAACUUCUCUGAAAGGUCUUCGAUUAGGCGCAAGCCGAAAGAACCUCUCUCACCCUUGUGUACCCACUAUGUUGCUUUGGCGGGCCGACCCGGUUCUGACCCGGGCGGCCGGCGCCCCCAGCCUCUCGCAGGCCAGGACGCCCGGCUAAGUGCCCGCCAGUAUACAAAACUCAAGCGAUUAUUUUGUGAAGUCCUGAUAUAUCAUUCAAUUGAUUAAAACUUUCAACAACGGAUCUCUUGGUUCUGGCAUCGAUGAAGAACGCAGCGAAAUGCGAUAAGUAAUGUGAAUUGCAGAAUUCAGUGAAUCAUCGAAUCUUUGAACGCACAUUGCGCCCUCUGGUAUUCCGGAGGGCAUGCCUGUUCGAGCGUCAUUUCAACCCUCAAGCUCUGCUUGGUAUUGGGCGACGUCCGCUGCCGGACGCGCCUCGAAGACCUCGGCGACGGCGUCAUAGCCUCGAGCGUAGUAGUAAAAUAUCUCGCUUUGGAGUGCUGGGCGACGGCCGCCGGACAAUCGACCUUCGGUCUAUUUUUCCAAGGUUGACCUCGGAUCAGGUAGGGAUACCCGCUGAACUUAAGCAUAC